CUACGGGAGGCUGCAGUGGGGAAUCUUGGACAAUGGGCGCAAGCCUGAUCCAGCCAUGCCGCGUGAAUGAUGAAGGCCCUAGGGUUGUAAAAUUCUUUCGUCGGUGAAGAUAAUGACGGUAGCCGAAGAAGAAGCCCCGGCUAACUCCGUGCCAGCAGCCGCGGUAAUACGGAGGGGGCAAGCGUUGUUCGGAAUUACUGGGCGUAAAGCGGGUGUAGGCGGAUUGAUCAGUCGGGGGUGAAAGCCCAGGGCUCAACCCUGGAACUGCCUUCGAUACUGUCAGUCUCGAGUCUAGGAGAGGUGAGCGGAAUUCCGAGUGUAGAGGUGAAAUUCGUAGAUAUUCGGAGGAACACCAGAGGCGAAGGCGGCUCACUGGACUAGUACUGACGCUGAGACCCGAAAGCGUGGGGAGCAAACAGGAUUAGAUACCCCUGUAGUC
Molecule: ribosomal RNA, 439 nt
Filed under: uncultured bacterium
Lineage: Bacteria
Description: partial 16S ribosomal RNA
Rfam family: Bacterial small subunit ribosomal RNA
Source: RNAcentral